GCUGGGGUAGUUCAGCUGGUUAGAGCAUGAGACUCUUAAUCUGAGGGCCAUGGCUUUGAGUCCCAUGUUGGGCA
This is a non-coding RNA of Podarcis lilfordi (Lilford's wall lizard), 74 nucleotides long. NCBI's taxonomy places the organism in Eukaryota, Metazoa, Chordata, Lepidosauria, Squamata, Lacertidae. The record is from the annotation of a GenBank genome assembly.